Molecule: small nucleolar RNA, 320 nt
Filed under: Chelonoidis abingdonii (Abingdon island giant tortoise)
Lineage: Eukaryota; Metazoa; Chordata; Testudines; Testudinidae
Description: Small Cajal body-specific RNA 7 (ENSCABG00000020046.1)
Rfam family: Small Cajal body-specific RNA 7
Source: Rfam by way of RNAcentral
UGGAAAUUAUGAAAGGUAACUGGAUAUUUGUGUGUGUGUGUGAGAGAGAGAUUGGAAACAUUCUAAUUUAACACUUUAAUAUUAUGUUAAUGUUUUAUAAUGUGUUUUUGAGAGAGAGGAAUGUACAAAGGCUGCAUGGGGGCACUGAUGAAAUGCUGAUUUCAGAGUGCAUCUGAGACGUUGAAAUUUUGAGAAGGGUGUUGUUUUGUUUUGCACAUUGCCAGUGAUAAGUGCCCAAAAUAAGCUCACCAGCUGAAUAUAGACAAUCUAAAGAUCUCUGACAGGUUCAUUGACAUAAAUGAUCCCAUGAUUUGAUCCAA